UUAAGCGACUAAGCGUACACGGUGGAUGCCCUGGCAGUCAGAGGCGAUGAAGGACGUGCUAAUCUGCGAAAAGCGUCGGUAAGGUGAUAUGAACCGUUAUAACCGGCGAUGUCCGAAUGGGGAAACCCAGUGCAAUUCGUUGCACUAUCGUUAACUGAAUACAUAGGUUAACGAGGCGAACCGGGGGAACUGAAACAUCUAAGUACCCCGAGGAAAAGAAAUCAACCGAGAUUCCCCCAGUAGCGGCGAGCGAACGGGGAGCAGCCCAGAGUCUGAAUCAGCUUGUGUGUUAGUGGAACGGUCUGGAAAGUCCGACGGUACAGGGUGAUAGUCCCGUACACCAAAAUGCACAGGCUGUGAACUCGAAGAGUAGGGCGGGACACGUGGUAUCCUGUCUGAAUAUGGGGGGACCAUCCUCCAAGGCUAAAUACUCCUGACUGACCGAUAGUGAACCAGUACCGUGAGGGAAAGGCGAAAAGAACCCCGGCGAGGGGAGUGAAAAAGAACCUGAAACCGUGUACGUACAAGCAGUGGGAGCACCUUCGGGUGUGACUGCGUACCUUUUGUAUAAUGGGUCAGCGACUUAUAUUCUGUAGCAAGGUUAACCGUAUAGGGGAGCCGCAGGGAAACCGAGUCUUAACUGGGCGUUAAGUUGCAGGGUAUAGACCCGAAACCCGGUGAUCUAGCCAUGGGCAGGUUGAAGGUUGGGUAACACUAACUGGAGGACCGAACCGACUAAUGUUGAAAAAUUAGCGGAUGACUUGUGGCUGGGGGUGAAAGGCCAAUCAAACCGGGAGAUAGCUGGUUCUCCCCGAAAGCUAUUUAGGUAGCGCCUCGUGAACUCAUCUUCGGGGGUAGAGCACUGUUUCGGCUAGGGGGUCAUCCCGACUUACCAACCCGAUGCAAACUACGAAUACCGAAGAAUGUUAUCACGGGAGACACACGGCGGGUGCUAACGUCCGUCGUGAAGAGGGAAACAACCCAGACCGCCAGCUAAGGUCCCAAAGUCAUGGUUAAGUGGGAAACGAUGUGGGAAGGCACAGACAGCCAGGAUGUUGGCUUAGAAGCAGCCAUCAUUUAAAGAAAGCGUAAUAGCUCACUGGUCGAGUCGGCCUGCGCGGAAGAUGUAACGGGGCUAAACCAUGCACCGAAGCUGCGGCAGCGACACUAUGUGUUGUUGGGUAGGGGAGCGUUCUGUAAGCCUGCGAAGGUGUGCUGUGAGGCAUGCUGGAGGUAUCAGAAGUGCGAAUGCUGACAUAAGUAACGAUAAAGCGGGUGAAAAGCCCGCUCGCCGGAAGACCAAGGGUUCCUGUCCAACGUUAAUCGGGGCAGGGUGAGUCGACCCCUAAGGCGAGGCCGAAAGGCGUAGUCGAUGGGAAACAGGUUAAUAUUCCUGUACUUGGUGUUACUGCGAAGGGGGGACGGAGAAGGCUAUGUUAGCCGGGCGACGGUUGUCCCGGUUUAAGCAUGUAGGCUGAUUGUCCAGGCAAAUCCGGAUAAUCAAGGCUGAGGUGUGAUGACGAGGCACUACGGUGCUGAAGUAACAAAUGCCCUGCUUCCAGGAAAAGCCUCUAAGCAUCAGGUAACAUUAAAUCGUACCCCAAACCGACACAGGUGGUCAGGUAGAGAAUACCAAGGCGCUUGAGAGAACUCGGGUGAAGGAACUAGGCAAAAUGGUGCCGUAACUUCGGGAGAAGGCACGCUGGUGUGUAGGUGAAGUCCCUGCGGAUGGAGCUGAGACCAGUCGAAGAUACCAGCUGGCUGCAACUGUUUAUUAAAAACACAGCACUGUGCAAACACGAAAGUGGACGUAUACGGUGUGACGCCUGCCCGGUGCCGGAAGGUUAAUUGAUGGGGUUAUCCGUAAGGAGAAGCUCUUGAUCGAAGCCCCGGUAAACGGCGGCCGUAACUAUAACGGUCCUAAGGUAGCGAAAUUCCUUGUCGGGUAAGUUCCGACCUGCACGAAUGGCGUAAUGAUGGCCAGGCUGUCUCCACCCGAGACUCAGUGAAAUUGAACUCGCUGUGAAGAUGCAGUGUACCCGCGGCAAGACGGAAAGACCCCGUGAACCUUUACUAUAGCUUGACACUGAACAUUGAGCCUUGAUGUGUAGGAUAGGUGGGAGGCUUUGAAGCGUGGACGCCAGUCUGCGUGGAGCCAACCUUGAAAUACCACCCUUUAAUGUUUGAUGUUCUAACGUUGGCCCCUGACCGGGGUUGCGGACAGUGUCUGGUGGGUAGUUUGACUGGGGCGGUCUCCUCCCAAAGCGUAACGGAGGAGCACGAAGGUUAGCUAAUCCUGGUCGGACAUCAGGAGGUUAGUGCAAUGGCAUAAGCUAGCUUGACUGCGAGCGUGACGGCGCGAGCAGGUGCGAAAGCAGGUCAUAGUGAUCCGGUGGUUCUGAAUGGAAGGGCCAUCGCUCAACGGAUAAAAGGUACUCCGGGGAUAACAGGCUGAUACCGCCCAAGAGUUCAUAUCGACGGCGGUGUUUGGCACCUCGAUGUCGGCUCAUCACAUCCUGGGGCUGAAGUAGGUCCCAAGGGUAUGGCUGUUCGCCAUUUAAAGUGGUACGCGAGCUGGGUUUAGAACGUCGUGAGACAGUUCGGUCCCUAUCUGCCGUGGGCGCUGGAGAAUUGAGGGGGGCUGCUCCUAGUACGAGAGGACCGGAGUGGACGCAUCACUGGUGUUCGGGUUGUCAUGCCAAUGGCACUGCCCGGUAGCUAAAUGCGGAAGAGAUAAGUGCUGAAAGCAUCUAAGCACGAAACUUGCCCCGAGAUG
Molecule: ribosomal RNA, 2776 nt
Filed under: Klebsiella pneumoniae
Lineage: Bacteria; Pseudomonadati; Pseudomonadota; Gammaproteobacteria; Enterobacterales; Enterobacteriaceae
Description: bacterial LSU rRNA
Rfam family: Bacterial large subunit ribosomal RNA
Source: RNAcentral